CCUUCGAUAGCUCAGUUGGCAGAGCGGGGGACUGUAGAUCCCUAGGUCGCUGGUUCAAAUCCGGCUCGAAGGA
This 73-nucleotide transfer RNA is filed under the name Actinia tenebrosa (Australian red waratah sea anemone). Its description in RNAcentral is "tRNA-Tyr". It matches the Rfam family "tRNA". Rfam says of the family: Transfer RNA (tRNA) molecules are approximately 80 nucleotides in length. Their secondary structure includes four short double-helical elements and three loops (D, anti-codon, and T loops). The record is from RNAcentral. Lineage: Eukaryota; Metazoa; Cnidaria; Anthozoa; Actiniaria; Actiniidae. RNAcentral also lists the same sequence under 3 other names.